Molecule: transfer RNA, 51 nt
Filed under: Pseudoniphargus pedrerae
Lineage: Eukaryota; Metazoa; Arthropoda; Malacostraca; Amphipoda; Allocrangonyctidae
Description: tRNA-Val
Source: RNAcentral
AAAAGUGAUAGUAUUUCAGUUACGUUGAAAGAGACCUUAUAGGCACUUUUU